RNAcentral lists this long non-coding RNA (483 nucleotides) under Chloebia gouldiae (Gouldian finch). RNAcentral describes it as "Erythrura gouldiae (Gouldian finch) lncRNA (ENSEGOG00005016871.1)". Lineage: Eukaryota; Metazoa; Chordata; Aves; Passeriformes; Passeridae. The record is from RNAcentral.
GGCCUCCAGAAGUUAUGGGAGAAGGAAGGGAGAGCGUGACCACUCCAGGCUGCCCAGAAGAAAGAACAAAAUGUUAAACUGAGUCAGUGUGAAAAUGUCACAUCACCCUGCUGCAAGCCCUGGUGUUCUCGAGAAGCAGAGGUGGAAGAUGCCGGCUCCAGAUGUUGGGAGGUUUUUCUUCCCUAGGGGAGGAAACAUCAAGUGCUGCUCCCAGGCACGGAUCUCAUUCUGGGAAUUGAGAGUGCUCCAUCCACAGACUCCUUUCUGGUGUCUUGACAUAAUGCAAGAGAGUGCUGAGAGGAAGGUGAUGAAGAAUACCUGGGCACAAAGGAGAAAUAAAGAGGAGGAGGUUGUGUGGCUCCUCCUAACAGUCCAGCACUUCUGCCUCCCAGCUAUGCAAAAACACAAGAGAACUUAAUUAAGAGGGUCCAUUUUCUCUACAAAACCUUUUAUGGUCCCUGGCCUUUGCUCAGAUACAUUUAC